RNAcentral lists this transfer RNA (72 nucleotides) under Bos taurus (domestic cattle). It matches the Rfam family "tRNA". Rfam says of the family: Transfer RNA (tRNA) molecules are approximately 80 nucleotides in length. Their secondary structure includes four short double-helical elements and three loops (D, anti-codon, and T loops). RNAcentral also lists the same sequence under 2 other names. The record is from Rfam by way of RNAcentral. Lineage: Eukaryota; Metazoa; Chordata; Mammalia; Artiodactyla; Bovidae.
UGCCUGGUGGUCCAGUGGUUAAGACUCCACACUUCCAAGGCAGGGGACCAGGUUCAAGUCCUGGUCAGGGAA